GACGAACGCUGGCGGCGUGCUUAACACAUGCAAGUCGAACGGAAAGGCCCUGCUUUUGUGGGGUGCUCGAGUGGCGAACGGGUGAGUAACACGUGAGUAACCUGCCCUUGACUUUGGGAUAACUUCAGGAAACUGGGGCUAAUACCGGAUAGGAGCUCCUGCUGCAUGGUGGGGGUGGGAAAGUUUCGGCGGUUGGGGAUGGACUCGCGGCUUAUCAGCUUGUUGGUGGGGUAGUGGCUUACCAAGGCUUUGACGGGUAGCCGGCCUGAGAGGGUGACCGGCCACAUUGGGACUGCGAUACGGCCCAGACUCCUACGGGAGGCAGCAGUGGGGAAUAUUGCACAAUGGGAGGAAGCCUGAUGCAGCAACGCCGCGUGCGGGAUGACGGCCUUCGGGUUGUAAACCGCUUUCGCCUGUGACGAAGCGUGAGUGACGGUAAUGGGUAAAGAAGCACCGGCUAACUACGUG
Molecule: ribosomal RNA, 468 nt
Filed under: uncultured bacterium
Lineage: Bacteria
Description: partial 16S ribosomal RNA
Rfam family: Bacterial small subunit ribosomal RNA
Source: RNAcentral